Molecule: ribosomal RNA, 800 nt
Filed under: bacterium
Lineage: Bacteria
Description: bacterial SSU rRNA
Rfam family: Bacterial small subunit ribosomal RNA
Source: RNAcentral
UAUCGGAACGUACCCAAGAGUGGGGGAUAACGUAGCGAAAGUUACGCUAAUACCGCAUACGAUCUAAGGAUGAAAGCAGGGGAUCUUCGGACCUUGUGCUCCUGGAGCGGCCGAUAUCUGAUUAGCUAGUUGGUGAGGUAAAGGCUCACCAAGGCCACGAUCAGUAGCUGGUCUGAGAGGACGACCAGCCACACUGGAACUGAGACACGGUCCAGACUCCUACGGGAGGCAGCAGUGGGGAAUUUUGGACAAUGGGCGAAAGCCUGAUCCAGCAAUGCCGCGUGAGUGAAGAAGGCCUUCGGGUUGUAAAGCUCUUUUGUCAGGGAAGAAACGGUUCGGGCUAAUAUCCUGAGCUAAUGACGGUACCUGAAGAAUAAGCACCGGCUAACUACGUGCCAGCAGCCGCGGUAAUACGUAGGGUGCAAGCGUUAAUCGGAAUUACUGGGCGUAAAGCGUGCGCAGGCGGUUUUGUAAGUCUGACGUGAAAUCCCCGGGCUCAACCUGGGAAUUGCGUUGGAGACUGCAAGGCUAGAAUCUGGCAGAGGGGGGUAGAAUUCCACGUGUAGCAGUGAAAUGCGUAGAGAUGUGGAGGAACACCGAUGGCGAAGGCAGCCCCCUGGGUCAAGAUUGACGCUCAUGCACGAAAGCGUGGGGAGCAAACAGGAUUAGAUACCCUGGUAGUCCACGCCCUAAACGAUGUCUACUAGUUGUCGGGUUUUAAUUAACUUGGUAACGCAGCUAACGCGUGAAGUAGACCGCCUGGGGAGUACGGUCGCAAGAUUAAAACUCAAAGGAAUUGA